AAGUCGUAACAAGGUUUCCGUAGGUGAACCUGCGGAAGGAUCAUUAUCGAAUUUGAGAACGGGAGGAGCUGUGCUGGCCUUCAGGGGCAUGUGCACGCUUCGCUCGACCCCCCAACCAACACUUGUGAACCGUGUGUAGGAAUCGAGGCUUGGGCUUGACGCUGGAUAACGGCCGAUGGUCUUGGCACGUGGUGGGGUGUCGCUUCGACGCUGGAUAACGGCCGACGGGCUUCGCCUUGCGGGUUCCUAUGUUUUAUACACCCUGUAUCGUAUGUCUUAGAAUGUUUUUGAUCUCGGUUGCCCUAAAAAGCAGCUCGAGUUAAUAUACAACUUUCAACAACGGAUCUCUUGGUUCUC
This 357-nucleotide unclassified non-coding RNA is filed under the name air metagenome. Its description in RNAcentral is "partial contains small subunit ribosomal RNA, internal transcribed spacer 1, and 5.8S ribosomal RNA". The stretch from base 1 to 46 matches the Rfam family "Eukaryotic small subunit ribosomal RNA", at positions 1786 to 1831 of the family's 1831-position model. The record is from RNAcentral.